Molecule: long non-coding RNA, 787 nt
Filed under: Gallus gallus (chicken)
Lineage: Eukaryota; Metazoa; Chordata; Aves; Galliformes; Phasianidae
Description: lncRNA (ENSGALG00010000658.1)
Source: RNAcentral
AAUUAAAGCAGUUUUGGUACUACGAAAAGCCCUUUUAAACUUUGCCGCGGCGAGGGAAGGGUUAACGGCGCCCCUCGGCUCCGCCCGCGCCACUCUCAACCAAUCAGCGCUCUGCGCCCCGCCUCCCGCAGCCAAUCGGCGUCCUCUCUUCAAGCCGCGCCCUUUGCCCUAUCGGCUGUGUCAUUGCGGCGGUCCCCACUUCCCCGCCAUCGCCGCCUUAAGAGGAGGCCACGCCCCGCUUCCCCGCCCUCUGAACCAGCAGCCAAUCAGCGCAAAGCGCCCCGCUCCCUCAGCCAAUCGGCGCGCUAGCCCCGCCCACUAGCCGCUCAUCCAAUCAACGUUCAAUCUCUUCAAACGCCAGCAGUUUCUUGUCCGCCAUUCUUGGGUCGUGGCUUAAACCGGAAGCACGCGUGUCCGCCAUCUUGGGGGCGUGGCUUGUCGCGCAGGGGCUGCUGGGAAUCGUAGUCCUUAAAGGGGCCACCGCCAUUUUGGGGGCGUUUUGGGGGCGAAAAACGGAGAAAUGCGGACAAAACGGGGCGGAGUUUUUACAGCGGGGGGGGCGGGGCGGCCAACAGCGCUUCCACGGACCUGAGGGCAAAGGGGGGCAGCGGCACUUAGGGGGCAGCCCCACACUUAGGGGGCGGACCCCCACUUAUGGGGCAGCCCCACACUUAUGGGGCAGACCCCCACUUAUGGGGCAGCCCCACACUUACGGGUUGGACCCACACUUAUGGGGCAGCCCCACACUUAUGGGGCAGCCCCACUUAUAGGCCAUACCCACACUUAU